This 361-nucleotide ribosomal RNA is filed under the name uncultured bacterium. Its description in RNAcentral is "bacterial SSU rRNA". It matches the Rfam family "Bacterial small subunit ribosomal RNA", at positions 179 to 558 of the family's 1533-position model. The record is from RNAcentral.
CGGAUGCUCGGGAGAGCGACUGGUAAAAACUCUGGUGCUUCAGGAGGGGCCUGCGGCCGAUUAGCUAGUUGGCGGGGUAAGAGCCCACCAAGGCGACGAUCGGUAGCUGGUCUGAGAGGACGAUCAGCCACACGGGAACUGAGACACGGUCCCGACUCCUACGGGGGGCAGCAGUGAGGAAUAUUGGGCAAUGGGCGAAAGCCUGACCCAGCAACGCCGCGUGGAGGAAGACGGCCUUCGGGUUGUAAACUCCUUUUACGGGGGAAGAGGAAGGACGGUACCCCGAGAAUAAGUCACGGCUAACUACGUGCCAGCAGCCGCGGUAAUACGUUGGUGACAAGCGUUAUCCGGAAUUACUGGG